Molecule: ribosomal RNA, 465 nt
Filed under: Vreelandella stevensii
Lineage: Bacteria; Pseudomonadati; Pseudomonadota; Gammaproteobacteria; Oceanospirillales; Halomonadaceae
Description: partial 16S ribosomal RNA
Rfam family: Bacterial small subunit ribosomal RNA
Source: RNAcentral
CCUACGGGAGGCUGCAGUGGGGAAUAUUGGACAAUGGGCGAAAGCCUGAUCCAGCCAUGCCGCGUGUGUGAAGAAGGCCUUCGGGUUGUAAAGCACUUUCAGUGGGGAAGAAAGCCUUGGGGCUAAUACCCUCGAGGAAGGACAUCACCCACAGAAGAAGCACCGGCUAACUCCGUGCCAGCAGCCGCGGUAAUACGGAGGGUGCGAGCGUUAAUCGGAAUUACUGGGCGUAAAGCGCGCGUAGGCGGUCUGAUAAGCCGGUUGUGAAAGCCCCGGGCUCAACCUGGGAACGGCAUCCGGAACUGUCAGGCUAGAGUGCAGGAGAGGAAGGUAGAAUUCCCGGUGUAGCGGGGAAAUGCGUAGAGAUCGGGAGGAAUACCAGUGGCGAAGGCGGCCUUCUGGACUGACACUGACGCUGAGGUGCGAAAGCGUGGGUAGCAAACAGGAUUAGAUACCCCAGUAGUC